CCCUUAGAUGUUCUGGGCCGCACGCGCGCUACACUGAUGCAUUCAACGAGUCUAAAACCUGCUCUGAUAGGGGUGGGUAAUCUUUUGAAUGUGCAUCGUGAUUGGGAUAGAUGAUUGCAAUUUUUCAUCUUCAACGAGGAAUGCCUAGUAAACGCAAGUCAUCAGCUUGCAUUGAUUACGUCCCUGCCCUUUGUACACACCGCCCGUCGCUCCUACCGAUUGAAUGAUCCGGUGAAUAAUUCGGACUGCAGCACUGCUUGGUCUCCAGGCUUUGCAGCGGAAAGUUUAGUGAACCUUAUCACUUAGAGGAAGGAGAAGUCGUAACA
RNAcentral lists this ribosomal RNA (326 nucleotides) under uncultured eukaryote. RNAcentral's name for it is "partial 18S ribosomal RNA". It matches the Rfam family "Eukaryotic small subunit ribosomal RNA", at positions 1470 to 1796 of the family's 1831-position model. The record is from RNAcentral.